CGCGUAGGCGGUUUUUUAAGUCUGAUGUGAAAGCCCACGGCUCAACCGUGGAGGGUCAUUGGAAACUGGAAAACUUGAGUGCAGAAGAGGAAAGUGGAAUUCCAUGUGUAGCGGUGAAAUGCGCAGUGAUAUGGAGGAACACCAGUGGCGAAGGCGACUUUCUGGUCUGUAACUGACGCUGAUGUGCGAAAGCGUGGGGAUCAAACA
RNAcentral lists this ribosomal RNA (207 nucleotides) under uncultured bacterium. RNAcentral's name for it is "partial 16S ribosomal RNA". It matches the Rfam family "Bacterial small subunit ribosomal RNA", at positions 568 to 774 of the family's 1533-position model. The record is from RNAcentral.